GUCCACGCCGUAAACGAUGAAUGCUAGCCGUUGGGUAGCUUGCUAUUCAGUGGCGCAGCUAACGCAUUAAGCAUUCCGCCUGGGGAGUACGGCCGCAAGGUUGAAACUCAAAGGAAUUGACGGGGGCCCGCACAAGCGGUGGAGCAUGUGGUUUAAUUCGACGCAACGCGCAGAACCUUACCAGGGUUUGACAUCCUGCGACCGCUCCCUAAUAGGAGUUUUCCCGCAAGGGACGCAGAGACAGGUGCUGCAUGGCUGUCGU
This 262-nucleotide ribosomal RNA is filed under the name uncultured bacterium. Its description in RNAcentral is "partial 16S ribosomal RNA". It matches the Rfam family "Bacterial small subunit ribosomal RNA", at positions 793 to 1055 of the family's 1533-position model. The record is from RNAcentral.